GAGUUUGAUCGUGGCUCAGAACGAACGCUGGCGGCAUGCCUAACACAUGCAAGUCGAACGAGAUCUUCGGAUCUAGUGGCGCACGGGUGCGUAACGCGUGGGAAUCUGCCCUUGGGUGCGGAAUAACUUCUCGAAAGGGAUGCUAAUACCGCAUAAUGUCGUAAGACCAAAGAUUUAUCGCCCAAGGAUGAGCCCGCGUAAGAUUAGCUAGUUGGUGGGGUAAAAGCCUACCAAGGCGACGAUCUUUAGCUGGUCUGAGAGGAUGAUCAGCCACACUGGGACUGAGACACGGCCCAGACUCCUACGGGAGGCAGCAGUGGGGAAUAUUGGACAAUGGGCGAAAGCCUGAUCCAGCAAUGCCGCGUGAGUGAUGAAGGCCCUAGGGUUGUAAAGCUCUUUACCCGGGAUGAUAAUGACAGUACCGGGAGAAUAAGCUCCGGCUAACUCCGUGCCAGCCGCCGCCGU
RNAcentral lists this ribosomal RNA (465 nucleotides) under uncultured microorganism. Its description in RNAcentral is "bacterial SSU rRNA". It matches the Rfam family "Bacterial small subunit ribosomal RNA", at positions 9 to 521 of the family's 1533-position model. The record is from RNAcentral.